GUUGUGUUUUGAUUAGUAAUGCCUCUUAACCCUAAUUCAGUGACGGAUAUAGGUUAGGGGUGUUACAGCAGUGGGGAAUUUUUCGCAAUGGGCUAAAGCCUAACGGAGCAAUGCCGCGUGGAGUUAGAAGGCCCACGGGUCGUGAACUUCUUUUCCCGGAGAAGAAGCAAUGACGGUAUCUGGAGAAUAAGCAUUAGCUAUGACACGAC
Non-coding RNA from Gossypium hirsutum (cotton), 209 nucleotides. The record is from Rfam. Lineage: Eukaryota; Viridiplantae; Streptophyta; Magnoliopsida; Malvales; Malvaceae.